Non-coding RNA from Rhodofomes roseus, 84 nucleotides. The record is from the annotation of a RefSeq genome assembly. Lineage: Eukaryota; Fungi; Basidiomycota; Agaricomycetes; Polyporales; Fomitopsidaceae.
GGCCUUAUAGCUCAGUGGUUAGAGCAUGCGAUUGCAGCUUACGUAAUCAUCGCAGGGUCUCGUGUUCGAAUCACGAUGAGGCCU